AAUGCGGUGGACGUCCCCCGGACGACACGUGCUUAGUGUGGUGACGUCUAAACAAAUUGUUAGUUUCGUUUUUAGACGUCUAUAAUACUAUAUUUAACAAUAAUAAUAAAAAUUUAUAAUUAUAGAUGUAUUAUCUUUUAUUCACUAGUUUUUUAAAAUUAUACUAUCUGUAAAAAGAGAUAUUUAUACAAUGAGUAUACACAUUUUAUCACAAUGGCUAACUUUGUAUACACUAGUUAAGGGAAAUAAAGUAUGGAUUAAUUCAUUUAACAAAGUUAAUUUUUGCUCGCCUGCAAACUUACCAAAUAAAAAUAUAAUUCUUCAAUGUGAUGUCGGUACGAGUGGUUUUUCAGGAAACACUUUUGAGAUAAAUUUUAAUUAUUAUUUUAAUGGGUCUAUCAAACGCUUUCAAGAAGAAAAAAAUUUUUUGAAUGAAACAAGGAUAUUAUGGAGCGGAGUUAAAAAAUCAUAUUAUAAACUACAACGUAAUUUGACUAUAUAUAAUGUUUCAAAGAGUGAUAUAAAUGUUUAUUUUUGUUCUGUGUAUGGUGUAUAUGGUAAUGAUACAUUGUUAGCGAGAGAGAAUUUUACUUUAUCAAACAUUGAAAGCAAUACGCAAUGCAACACCACAAUCAGAUCUAUUAUGGCAAAUGAUAAUGUCAAGAUAAUAAUAGUGGUUACAACUUCUUUUGUCAUGUUGAUAUUAUUGAUUGCUAUUAUUUUGCUUUUAAAGAAAAUGAAAAAAAGAAAAUUUAGAAAGAAAGGCACUGAGAAAUCAUACCGUCAUUUGCUAACAUACUUUGUGUUGCACUUUGAUCAGAACAUUGAUAUUGUUAAGAGGUCAAGACUUAGGAACAUUUUAGCACAUCUUAAAUUGCUCUGGAAUACAUGUAAAUGCAUGGAAUCUUUAUUUAUUAAGAAAAAUGUUAAUGGCUUGAUAAUAAAAUUUAAUUUAAAUGAUUUUACUGCAGUCAAAAUAGCCGUACCGAAUGCGUAUUUUCUAUCUUCUAGCACUGGUCGACCACUAAUUACUAAUUUUUACAAAUGUUGUUCAAGAACUAAUUAUCGACGUCUUACCAAACUUGACAGAAAGCAUCUAAGGCUCUACAUUCUUAUCUAAAUGUAUUUUGUUGAUUGCUCUAGCCUUUUUUAUUUUUCUUUGUUUAAUAAAACUUUUGAAGCAAUUGAUAACUUAUUUGACGACUGACAUUUUUGAAGUUUGCUUUCACAACAUAAAAAUUUAACACGUCGAUGCUUAGUUCUUGAAGAACACUCUUUAAAGUCAGUAGUUGGUGAUCGACCAGUGUUUGCGAAUACGUCGAUAUUUAAAGAAAUCCGAAACCAUUUACUUUAUAUUGGCAACCUUAAAGAACUUUAAUUUGAAAAAGAAACAACUGAUUUAUUAAUCAUUGAAGAAACUACUUUGAAAGAUGAGAUCUUUUAUCUUGUAUAACCUUGUGUUGAGUUACAAUUCUAUUUCAGUCAAACAUAUCGUUCAAGUUAAAAUGAUAGAUAGCAAAGUCCAUUCUGUCUUAUCGAAUGUAACAAGGUCUAUUCAAUUUUGCUGUAUGUGUGGAUGUUUACCUAAAGACAUGAACAACAUCGAUAAAGUUACGAAACUUCCCUAUUUACUGGAUGUGCUUCAAUGAGGAUUUACUACACUUUUCAUGUAUUACCUUUUCAUAUUCAUGGAUAAGAUUUUUUGAUAUUUUUCAUAUAAGAUACCAAUCGAAAAAACACAAGCAAGAGGAGACACAGAGAAAGCUCAUGUUAAAGAACAAAAAAUAAAUAUUGUAAAAAAAAAAUUCCAACAAAAAAUGGGACUUAUUUUUGACUAGUCAAAAUGUGGAGUAUCUGGAAAUUCAAACGACGGCAAUAUUGCUCGAAAAGCCUUUUCAAAUGAAUAUAAAUUUACCGAAAUUACAGAAAUAAACAAAGAACUAUUUGUAAAGUUGCACAUAAUCUUAAUGUGUAUAUCAAGUGGAUUUCAAUUAGAUAGGGGAGGAUGGGUAGAAGUGAGCCAAAGGUAGGAGUGAACCGUUGAUCCUACAGCUAAAACAGGAAAUGAAAAAGACUCAAAGUUUUCACCAAGUAAUUGCAUACAAAUUAUUGUUAACACAAUCCAAUUUUUUUACCGCUUCUUGGUGUGGGUGUCUGCGUUAACGUUGUCAUCCACUCUUUUCUGUGCAAAAGUAAAUUUUUUGUAUUUUAUGAAACAUAUUUAAUGAGUAUUCCGGUUGUUUCGAGACAUUAGAUAAUGGUUGAAAAUUUACUAAUAAAAAAUAUAGUUUUUAGAAUAAAGUAUUUUACAUGCAUAAACCACGUACUUAUUGGACAUUUAAUGUUUUAAUCCAGUUGCACAGCUUAGGGAAGAAUCAGCCAUUCCUUCACGGGUAGGAGUGAACCGCGGCUAACUAAUACUUCACGUUAAAAAAGUUUUGACUUCAGCGUAAAAACAUAUUUACGUUUGACUUUAAUAUCUUAGUAUAUCAUUAGAAAACUCGUGUGCAACAUUACAUUUAUUUUUACCACAUGUUAUAGUGCCUCGAAUCUAUAAAGGAACAACUUGGAAAGCAAAAACCUCCAGUAAAAAUAUGAAGGAUGCAUUACAUUUAAUUAAAAAAGGAAAAAGUAUUAGAGAAACUGCAAUAACUUCCAAAAUACCCUAUCCAACGCUUCGUCGUUAUUGGAAAAUAUUUUCGCUUGAUGAAAAUGCAAGACUUACCCCGAAUUAUUAUGUUAAAAGUAUGUUUACAGACAAGCAGGAAUUAGAAUUAAAGGAAUAUAUUUUGACUUGUUCAAGAAUGUUCUAUGGCUUUCCAAUUAAAAAAUGUCAGUGUAUAGCUUUUGAGAUGGCAACCAUUAAUAAAGUUAGUAUUCCACAGAAGUGGCACAAAGAUUCAAUGGCAGGUAUAGAUUGGAUGAAUAAUUUUAGAAAGCGACAUUCAGAUUUGAAAACCUGAAGGAUGUUCUCUCUCAAGGGCAACAUCAUUUAAUGCCCAUAAUGUAAAUAUAUUUUUUGAUAAAUUAAAAGAUUUUUUUGCUAGAUCACCAACAUUUGCAAAUGGAACUCGGAUUUUUAACCUUGAUGAAACUGAAACUAUUACCGUGCAGAACCCACAAAAGGUUCUUGCAAAGAAAGGUGUGAAGAGUGUCUACAAAGUCACAAGUUCUGAAAGAGGAACCCUUGUCACAACUUGUAUAAUCCUUCUGGACAAUAUCUUCCACGAGUAAUUAUUUUUCCAAGAGUGCAUUUCAAGCAGCAUAUGUUGUCAAGAGCUACUUCUGGAUCUCUCGGACUUGCAUGUAAAACAGGCUGGAUGAACGGUGAACUUUUUUUAGAUGUUAUGAAUCACUUUAUCAAGUUCUCGUCAAGUACGAAAGAAAAUCCAUCAUUAUUAAUAUAUGACAAUUUCGAAGCGCACUUAUCUACAGCAGUGUUAAAUUUAGCAAAGGAGCAUGCAGUGACCAUUUUGAUAUUACCGCCCCAUUCCACGCAUACGUUACAACCAUUUGAUGUGGGAGUUAUGGAACCAUUAAAAACUCCAUAUAAUGCAGCAAUUCAUGGAUGCUUUACAAUCCUGGAAAAACAUUUACAAAUUACCAAGUGGCUGCAUCUGUAGGGCUUGCUUUUCUGAAAGCCAUAACACCAUCUAACAUUGUAGCUGCUUUUAAAAAUACAGCUAUAUUUCCUUAUGACAGGAACGUGUUUACAGGUAUUGGUUUUAUGUGCAGCUCUGUGGCAAACAGAACUUUUGAUGUAAUCAAUACUUGCAUAAAAAAUCACGUAAGCAUAACUUCUGAUAAUUUUUUUAACCCACAUGUUUCACCAAAUGCAGACCCCGCUACCUCUACUACUACAGAUACAAACAAACUAGUUACCAAUCAUACCAUGGUGGAUCUGUCUACAUCAUCAGAUUCUUUUAUCAGCCCUAAACAAUUCAGAGGUUUUCCGAAAUCUGGAAAAAAAACUGUAAAAGAAGGGAAAGGAAGAAGGGUUGCUCUAUGAUUGCCACAGACACUCCUGAGAGAAAUCGGAUCGAGAAAAGGCUCUGCAAUAGAAAGUUAGUCAAACUUACAAAAGAAUUAGAAGCAAAUUUACAGAAUACUAACAAAAAAUUACUCAAAAAGAUGAUCCUGUAUUGGACCAUUUGACAACCAAAAUGAAAAAGGUUUAAUAAUUCAGAAGGUGAUUUUGUGCUUGUGAUAUAUAUCCUAAAGAAGAUGACUUUGUAUUGGUUAAAUUUGGAACAACAACAAAAAAAUUGUUUUAUGUUGAAAGAAGAAGUUACAAUCAGUUUUCUUCGGAAAAAAGGUGAUUACUAUCCCUAGAAUGGAUAUUAAAUUAUUACUACCUCGGCCAACUUUUUCUGGAACAAAUAAAAGGCAGCAUUGUCAUUACAAAUUUGAGAAAAGACUUAUGAUGUCAAUAUAUGUUACGCUCCUGAGGAUAGAGAAUGGGUCAUUAACACACUUGUGUUUAAGCUUGAAAGAGCAGGGAUUAAAACAUUUGUUAAUAUUAGAGAUGAUACUCCUGGAAAUUU
This is an RNA transcript of Hydra vulgaris (swiftwater hydra), 4544 nucleotides long. RefSeq lists it as uncharacterized. The record is from RefSeq and is a predicted model, not a curated record. NCBI's taxonomy places the organism in Eukaryota, Metazoa, Cnidaria, Hydrozoa, Anthoathecata, Hydridae.